Molecule: long non-coding RNA, 1196 nt
Filed under: Rattus norvegicus (Norway rat)
Lineage: Eukaryota; Metazoa; Chordata; Mammalia; Rodentia; Muridae
Description: long non-coding RNA NONRATT021591
Source: RNAcentral
CCGCGUGUGGCGCAGGCAAGGACCCUGAAAAUAAACAGCCGCUGCUUUGCGAGUCUCCUUCUUGGGUCUACGUCCGAGUCUCCUCUGCUGUGGGCAGCUCAGACGCCGAAGCUCUAACUGCAGCUAUGAGCAGCAACGAAUGCUUCAAGUGUGGACGAUCUGGCCACUGGGCCAGGGAAUGCCCUACUGGUGGAGGUCGGGGUCGUGGAAUGAGAAGCCGCGGCAGAGGUGGUUUUACCUCGGAUAGAGGGUUCCAGUUUGUUUCCUCGUCUCUUCCUGACAUCUGUUAUCGCUGUGGUGAGUCUGGUCAUCUUGCCAAGGAUUGUGAUCUUCAGGAGGAUGUCUUGGUCUGCUUCUUUUCCUUAUUGUUGAAGCCUGCUAUAACUGCGGUAGAGGUGGCCACAUUGCCAAGGACUGCAAGGAGCCCAAGAGAGAGCGAGAGCAAUGCUGCUACAACUGUGGCAAGCCAGGCCAUCUGGCUCGUGACUGUGACCACGCGGACGAGCAGAAGUGCUAUUCCUGUGGGGAAUUUGGACAUAUUCAAAAAGACUGCACCAAGGUGAAGUGCUAUAGGUGUGGUGAAACUGGUCAUGUAGCCAUCAAUUGCAGCAAGACAAGUGAAGUCAACUGUUACCGCUGUGGCGAGUCAGGGCAUCUUGCACGGGAAUGCACAAUUGAGGCUACUGCCUAAUUAUUUUCCUUUGUCGCCCCUCCUUUUUCUGAUUGAUGGUUGUAUUAUUUUCUCUGAAUCCUCUUCACUGGCCAAAGGUUGGCAGAUAGAGGCUGUUCCCAGGCCAGUGAGCUUUACUUGCAGUGUAAAAGGAGGAAAGGGGUGGAAAAAAAACCGAAUUUCUGCAUUUAACUACAAAAAAAAGUUUAUGUUUAGUUUGGUAGAGGUGUUAUGUAUAAUGCUUUGUUAAAGAACCCCCUUUCCGUGCCACUGGUGAAUAGGGAUUAAUGAAUGGGAAGAGUUCAGUCAGACCAGUAAGCCCUUCUGGGUUUGAGUGUGUUCCCAUGUAGGAGGUAAAACCAAUUCUGGAUGCAUCUAAGCUUCCAUGAAUAACUUUAAUUCUUAGCAUAAUGAUGGCCUUGGAUUGUCUGACCUCAGUAGCUAUUAAAUAACAUCGAGUAACAUCUGCAUCAGGCCCUCAUAGAACAUUCAGUUGAGUUGGGAGUAAACUGAAAAGACAAAUGUG